This 101-nucleotide microRNA precursor is filed under the name Glycine max (soybean). RNAcentral describes it as "miR10197 stem-loop (gma-MIR10197)". The record is from miRBase by way of RNAcentral. Lineage: Eukaryota; Viridiplantae; Streptophyta; Magnoliopsida; Fabales; Fabaceae.
AAAAGAUAACAUUUUAGAACGACUUUUUCCUUUAACCGGUCUAAAAGGUUAACCUUUUAGAUUGGUUAUAGGAAAAAAUCGUUCUAAAAAGUAUAUUAUUU